UUGAUGCAGCCAGAAGCAGCCUCCUGGAGCACCAAGGACGAGCACAACAUCAGGACCAUGAAAUCCAGACAGAAGUACCAUGAUGAAGCUGCAUUGAAGAAACAGACCUGAAAGAAAUGCCACAUCCUAGCAGCUUUGAACUGAGAUGAGAGACAAAAUUCAAAAACAGAUGGGGUCUGAAUUUGGCAGCUGAAACUUGCAUCUGUUAAUCAGCCACAAUCUACCAUUACAAGGGACUAGAGCUCUGCUUUGGUGCCUCUCAGGAAACCUUGACACCAGCAAGGUCACCUCUUCAAAGCCAGCUUCCUUCCUCCUCCUUGAGCUGGUCACACUCCUGUGAAACUCCAGAAUACAGCAAGCAAAAGAAGUUGAAGAAGAAUAGAAGA
This is a long non-coding RNA of Nothoprocta perdicaria, 386 nucleotides long. RefSeq lists it as uncharacterized. The record is from RefSeq and is a predicted model, not a curated record. The transcript is spliced from 3 exons. NCBI's taxonomy places the organism in Eukaryota, Metazoa, Chordata, Aves, Tinamiformes, Tinamidae.